RNAcentral lists this ribosomal RNA (356 nucleotides) under uncultured bacterium. Its description in RNAcentral is "partial 16S ribosomal RNA". It matches the Rfam family "Bacterial small subunit ribosomal RNA", at positions 355 to 701 of the family's 1533-position model. The record is from RNAcentral.
UAGGGAAUCUUCCACAAUGGACGCAAGUCUGAUGGAGCAACGCCGCGUGAGUGAAGAAGGCUUUCGGGUCGUAAAACUCUGUUAUUGAAGAAGAACGUGUGUGACAGUAACUGGUCAUGCAGUGACGGUAUUCAAUCAGAAAGUCACGGCUAACUACGUGCCAGCAGCCGCGGUAAUACGUAGGUGGCAAGCGUUGUCCGGAUUUAUUGGGCGUAAAGCGAGUGCAGGCGGUCUUUUAAGUCUGAUGUGAAAGCCUUCGGCUUAACCGAAGAAGGGCAUCGGAAACUGGGAGACUUGAGUGCAGAAGAGGAGAGUGGAACUCCGAUGUAGUNGCGGUGAAAUGCGUAGAUAUAUGG